RNAcentral lists this long non-coding RNA (1701 nucleotides) under Homo sapiens (human). RNAcentral describes it as "HSALNT0368887". The record is from RNAcentral. Lineage: Eukaryota; Metazoa; Chordata; Mammalia; Primates; Hominidae.
GUAUAAUUUGUGAAGUUUUGGAACAUAAAAUACAGAUAAAAGCAGAAAUAUCAUUACAAGUAUUUUAAUUCAGAGAUCUAUAAAAACUUUUAGAAAAUAUAUAAACAAAUGAACUAGGAUUGCACUUUUAAACCAAGUAAUAACAAGUUAUUCUGUGAACAUGUCUAUCGAAGUUCACAAUGUACUUUCCAUUUUAUUCUUAUGUAUUAUGGAACUUAAUUGAUGGACACAUCUGACACUGCUAUAAUUUUAUGAGUUACAAUUCAAUUGUUAUAUAUAGAGAGUAUAAAUUAUAUAAGAAAGGACAUCUAAGAAGUCAGUCUUUUGUUAUAAAAUAUGGGACUUAUCAGCUGCUUCAGGUCACAGGGAAUUACAGAGGCCACAUUUAUCCUCCUUCCUUAAAUAAAACCAGACAAAAUAUAUGAAACAACAGUUCUUGGACACUGGACAGCAAACAGCACAGGACAGGGAUUCCUGAGAUAAAGGAUACAAAGAAAGUGAAGUCUAUAUUUGCCCCAGCUACAGAGGGUUUCCAGGCCAGCGUGUAGGGAUAAGAACCCAUACAGUCACUUGCGGUCUCCUUGAGUUGAGCAGACAAGAAUUCAGAGGUCAGGGAAGCCAAGGUAGCUAGAAUUUGCAGGGCAGAAUAUCAGAAAGAAGAGAACUAUCCACCAAAAGUGAGCACUCUGGUGUAUGCACAGGAUUCCCCUAGAGUCUGUAGCUACAUUCUGAUUAAUACAUGCAUGUUAAGGAGGUGACCAAGGCUGGAGAAAGAACCACAAUAGAGAAGCAGGCAGAACAAUCCUCAGAGUUCACACAGGACUGGGAAUAGUUUGCAUUCACACAAGCUGGAGUAGAAAGACCUCGUAAGACAUGCACUGAGUAGUAUGCUGAAGGGUACUGUCUCAGCAGUACCCUUAGGGCCAAAUGAGCCCCUAAGCUAAAAGCUGUUCUGGACCUCCUAACAGAGCCUCAAAAGGUUUACUUUCCAAGGAACUUAACUGCAUCCUAGGAGAACAAUGCCAAAUAUAUUUAAAGUUAAUACAACAAAAUUCAGCACCCAACCAUGUAAAAUUUAUAAUGACCAGCAUCCAAUAAAAAAUUAUAAAGGCAUGCAAAAGAAUGAAGGAAAUAUGACCCAUAACAAGGAGAAGAAACAAUCAAUAGAAACAAAUCCAGAAAUGACACAAUGAUAGAAUGCAUAGACAAUGACAUUAAAAAUAUACUCCCUAGUUCAAGAUCGAGGAAAGAAUGAUCAUGAGGAGGAGAGAAAUGGAAGAUACUAUUUUUUUUCAAAAGACACAAAUUGAACUGAACUUUAAUUGAUUAAAAAUACAAUAUAUGAAACACAAAUAUUCUGAUUGGAAUUAAUAGCAGAUUAGACACUGAAGAAGAUUACUAAAUUUGAAAACAGCAAUAGAAACUAACCAAAAUGAAUCGCAGAGAGAAAAAGACAAAGAAAAACAAACAAACAAAAAAAACAGAACAGUGAAUUAGGGGACAACAUCUAGAAGUCUCACACAGAUGUAACUGGAGUCUCAAGCAAAGGAGAAAGAAGGGGAGACAGAUAAAUGUUUGAAGAAAUAAUGGCCAAAAAUUUCCCAGAUUUGAGCUGUGCACAGUGGUGUGUGCCUGUAAUCCCAGCUACUCAGGAGGCUGAGGCAGGAGAAUUGCUUGAGCCUGGGAGGUGGAGGUUGUGGU